AUACCAGCACUAAAGCACCGGAUCCCAUCAGAACUCCGAAGUUAAGCGUGCUUGGGCGAGAGUAGUACUAGGAUGGGUGACCUCCUGGGAAGUCCUCGUGUUGCAUCCC
RNAcentral lists this ribosomal RNA (109 nucleotides) under Helictochloa aetolica. The record is from RNAcentral. Lineage: Eukaryota; Viridiplantae; Streptophyta; Magnoliopsida; Poales; Poaceae.